RNAcentral lists this ribosomal RNA (253 nucleotides) under uncultured bacterium. RNAcentral's name for it is "partial 16S ribosomal RNA". It matches the Rfam family "Bacterial small subunit ribosomal RNA", at positions 524 to 776 of the family's 1533-position model. The record is from RNAcentral.
GACGUAGGAGGCGAGCGUUGUCCGGAUUCAUUGGGCGUAAAGAGCACGCAGGCGGUUUGGCAAGUCGGAUGUGAAAGCCCGGAGCUCAACUCCGGACCUGCAUCCGAAACUGCCCGACUAGAGGUAGGUGGGGGAGAUCGGAAUUCCUGGUGUAGCGGUGAAAUGCGCAGAUAUCAGGAGGAACACCGGUGGCGAAGGCGGAUCUCUGGGCCUUACCUGACGCUCAGGUGCGAAAGCUAGGGGAGCGAACAGG